GUAACUGGGCCCGGGGGUGCUGUGGACCUCUGAGAAACAACUGAGGAAAAGACAUCCUCUCAAUACAGGAUACUGGUGUCAAUGUUGGCUGGCUCCAAGGAGCUGUUGAUAUCAUGGCCUAAGGGGGAGAGAACAAGGAAGGCUGCAUGCUUGGUGUGCCAUGGGCCCCUGAAUGUUGUACACAGCACAAAAGAUCUAACCAAUGAGCAGGAGCAGCGCAGAAGACCUGAACUCUGGUCUGCUAUCCAGCUCUAUGGCCUUCAAAUAUCACAAAAAGAGUCCCUACAUCCUACCUCACCACUCCCACCACAUCAUUUCAGAAUGACUGUUACUUGAUGGUUCAUUAAUACUCAUACACUCGUAUUAUGUCUACUCUCACAUAUUUACAGGAGUUCAUCUAACUCACUUUCAAGGGAAUCAGUUUUGUGCUCGGUAAAAAUCCUGUUUUAAAAGGUGAACAAAUAAAUGCUUGACAGGGACCCUGGCUGACCUACCCACCUUGAUCCCUUGCAGAACAAAGUUGAUUUGUCCUGCCACUGUGGGCUCUUGGUCUUUCUCAGUACAUGACAUGGCUGGGAUCAAACCCAGGCCACAGAGCUCAGUUUGUACUCACAGUAGCCCCUU
This is a long non-coding RNA of Megalops cyprinoides (Indo-Pacific tarpon), 624 nucleotides long. RefSeq lists it as uncharacterized. The transcript is spliced from 3 exons. NCBI's taxonomy places the organism in Eukaryota, Metazoa, Chordata, Actinopteri, Elopiformes, Megalopidae. The record is from RefSeq and is a predicted model, not a curated record.